GACGAACGCUGGCGGCGUGCUUAACACAUGCAAGUCGAACGGAAAGGCCCUGCUUUUGUGGGGUGCUCGAGUGGCGAACGGGUGAGUAACACGUGAGUAACCUGCCCUUGACUUUGGGAUAACUUUAGGAAACUGGGGCUAAUACCGGAUAGGAGCUCCUGCUGCAUGGUGGGGGUUGGAAAGUUUCGGCGGUUGGGAUGGACUCGCGGCUUAUCAGCUUGUUGGUGGGGUAGUGGCUUACCAAGGCUUUGACGGGUAGCCGGCCUGAGAGGGUGACCGGCCACAUUGGGACUGAGAUACGGCCCAGACUCCUACGGGAGGCAGCAGUGGGGAAUAUUGCACAAUGGGCGGAAGCCUGAUGCAGCAACGCCGCGUGCGGGAUGACGGCCUUCGGGUUGUAAACCGCUUUCGCCUGUGACGAAGCGUGAGUGACGGUAAUGGGUAAAGAAGCACCGGCUAACUACGUG
Molecule: ribosomal RNA, 467 nt
Filed under: uncultured bacterium
Lineage: Bacteria
Description: partial 16S ribosomal RNA
Rfam family: Bacterial small subunit ribosomal RNA
Source: RNAcentral